UUAACACAUGCAAGUCGAGCGGGCGUAGCAAUACGUCAGCGGCAGACGGGUGAGUAACGCGUGGGAACAUACCUUUUGGUUCGGAACAACCCAGGGAAACUUGGGCUAAUACCGGAUAAGCCCUUACGGGGAAAGAUUUAUCGCCGAAAGAUUGGCCCGCGUCUGAUUAGCUAGUUGGUGAGGUAACGGCUCACCAAGGCGACGAUCAGUAGCUGGUCUGAGAGGAUGAUCAGCCACAUUGGGACUGAGACACGGCCCAAACUCCUACGGGAGGCAGCAGUGGGGAAUAUUGGACAAUGGGCGAAAGCCUGAUCCAGCCAUGCCGCGUGAGUGAUGAAGGCCCUAGGGUUGUAAAGCUCUUUUGUGCGGGAAGAUAAUGACGGUACCGCAAGAAUAAGCCCCGGCUAACUUCGUGCCAGCAGCCGCGGUAAUACGAAGGGGGCUAGCGUUGCUCGGAAUCACUGGGCGUAAAGGGUGCGUAGGCGGGUCUUUAAGUCAGGGGUGAAAUCCUGGAGCUCAACUCCAGAACUGCCUUUGAUACUGAAGAUCUUGAGUUCGGGAGAGGUGAGUGGAACUGCGAGUGUAGAGGUGAAAUUCGUAGAUAUUCGCAAGAACACCAGUGGCGAAGGCGGCUCACUGGCCCGAUACUGACGCUGAGGCACGAAAGCGUGGGGAGCAAACAGGAUUAGAUACCCUGGUAGUCCACGCCGUAAACGAUGAACACUAGGUGUUGGUGGAGUCGAAUCCGUCGGUGCCGCAGUUAACGCGUUAAGUGUUCCGCCUGGGGAGUACGGCCGCAAGGCUAAAACUCAAAUGAAUUGACGGGG
RNAcentral lists this ribosomal RNA (827 nucleotides) under uncultured Bradyrhizobiaceae bacterium. Its description in RNAcentral is "bacterial SSU rRNA". It matches the Rfam family "Bacterial small subunit ribosomal RNA", at positions 48 to 918 of the family's 1533-position model. The record is from RNAcentral. Lineage: Bacteria; Pseudomonadati; Pseudomonadota; Alphaproteobacteria; Hyphomicrobiales; Nitrobacteraceae.